RNAcentral lists this unclassified non-coding RNA (187 nucleotides) under Bartonella henselae. RNAcentral describes it as "partial 16S-23S ribosomal RNA intergenic spacer". The stretch from base 90 to 156 matches the Rfam family "tRNA". The record is from RNAcentral. Lineage: Bacteria; Pseudomonadati; Pseudomonadota; Alphaproteobacteria; Hyphomicrobiales; Bartonellaceae.
GCGGCGAACAGUCCACACAACGCUUUCCUUGAUAAAAUUUAAGCGUUUUAUAAGAGGAUGCCGGGGAAGGUUUUCCGGUUUAUCCCGGAGGGCUUGUAGCUCAGUUGGUUAGAGCGCGCGCUUGAUAGGUCGGAGGUUCAAGUCCUCCCAGGCCCACCAAUAAAGGCUGUGUAACUAUUCGGACAUA